UACAGAGGUCUCAAGCGUUGUUCGGAUUCAUUGGGCGUAAAGGGUGCGUAGGUGGCAUGGUAAGUCGGACGUGAAAUCCCGGGGCUCAACCCCGGAACUGCAUUCGAUACUGCUGCGCUAGAGUACUGGAGAGGAGAUUGGAAUUUACGGUGUAGCAGUGAAAUGCGUAGAUAUCGUAAGGAAGACCAGUGGCGAAGGCGGAUCUCUGGACAGUUACUGACACUGAGGCACGAAGGCCAGGGGAGCAAACGGG
This 253-nucleotide ribosomal RNA is filed under the name uncultured bacterium. Its description in RNAcentral is "partial 16S ribosomal RNA". It matches the Rfam family "Bacterial small subunit ribosomal RNA", at positions 524 to 776 of the family's 1533-position model. The record is from RNAcentral.